CCCGGGGCCGCGCGAGCUACGGCGACGCGGAGCCGGCGGGGCCGACCCUGACACACACCCAGCGCCGGGCUCCGCGACCCCGAGCGUCCCCCGCUCGGCGGCUUCGAGCCCCCCACCUUCUGCUCCCCCCGGGGAAGGGAGGAGGGUUGGUGGGCGAGGAAGAGGAAGGGGCGGGCGGUGCGAGCCCUCUGCCCGCUCCCCUCCGGCCGCUCCAGGCCCAGCGCUCGCCUCCCUUCCCCUCUGGCCUCGGGAGCUGCCCCGCCCCCGGCCUGGCCGGCUGUGGUCCUCAGCACCCCCUAGACCCCCGGCAGGCUGUGAUCGCGGGGGGCCUAGAGGUGCAUGGUCCAACCCCGGCUCCCGGCGCCGGGGGGUCAGGAAACUGAGCGGAAAGUGGGGAACGAGGCAGCCAUUUGCAACCGGAGAGGAAAGUAGUGCAGCGCGGCGCCGCUCCGCCUCCCCCCCUCCGCCUCCUGCUCGGCCGGUAGGGUGGUUCCUGCGAACCGGCCGUUUCCUCGCCUGGGGUCUGGCCGGCGGCCCCGGAGACUCGUGGAGCGUCCGGCGCGAGGUCCAGGGGGGCCCUCUGGCCCGGGGACCCCCACUCAAGAAGGGGAGAAAGGAGAAGAGGAGGCCCUAUUUUGUGUUGGAGCGGGGCGGCGGAGGGGUACAGCCCUCUUGGAGGAAAGGCUGUGACUCUGCAGUUCUACGCACACGCUCCGGGAUCCCUCCGCCGCGGGUUAACCCCGACUGCGCCAGGCUGGCCGCCGGGCAGACACGUGGGAAUAAAGACCCCCGCUUCUUCUCCCCGGCCCAGGAACUGCCUCCUUUACCUUCUGAGUAGUGAAGCUAGGAUCCUGGCCACUUCUUAAUUCUGCUCCCUCAAGUCACUGACCCUUGGAACUCCUAGCUUUGGCCGGGGACAGUCUUUGCCAAGGGGGGGUGGGGGGUGGAAAGAGAGGCUGGAGAUUGGCCGCUGCUCUGCAUCCUGGGAACUGGAGUCCGCAAGUGGAGAAAGUGAGGCAAGGCGCUUGGCGCUGCAAAGGGUGGGUUCUUGCCACGUUCGGGGGCCGGAAGAAAGCUGGACCGCUCUCAGGUCUUCUAACUCUAAGACCCUUUGGUGCCGAAGGGCUGUCGGUGUCCUCACGAUCCCCAAACACCACUUUCU
This 1162-nucleotide long non-coding RNA is filed under the name Meriones unguiculatus (Mongolian gerbil). RNAcentral describes it as "lncRNA (ENSMUGG00000026513.1)". The record is from RNAcentral. Lineage: Eukaryota; Metazoa; Chordata; Mammalia; Rodentia; Muridae.